GACUACUGGGGUAUCUAAGCCUGUUUGCUACCCACGCUUUCGCUCCUCAGUGUCAGUACCGGCCCAGAGCGCCGCCUUCGCCGCUGGUGUUCCUCCUGAUAUCUGCGCAUUUCACCGCUACACCAGGAAUUCCACGCUCCCCUACCGGACUCUAGCCAAAGCAGUAUCGGGUGGAGACCCAGGUUGAGCCUGGGGAUUUGACACCCGACUUACUUAGCCACCUACGAGCUCUUUACGCCCAAUAAAUCCGGACAACGCUUGCCCCCUACGUGUUACCGCGGCUGCUGGCACGUAGUUAGCCGGGGCUUCUUCUGCAGGUACCGUCAAUUUCGUCCCUGCUGAAAGGGGUUUACAACCCGAGAGCCUUCAUCCCCCACGCGGCGUUGCUGCGUCAGGCUUUCGCCCAUUGCGCAAGAUUCCCCACUGCAGCCCCCCGUAGG
This 440-nucleotide ribosomal RNA is filed under the name uncultured Acidimicrobiales bacterium. RNAcentral's name for it is "partial 16S ribosomal RNA". Lineage: Bacteria; Bacillati; Actinomycetota; Acidimicrobiia; Acidimicrobiales. The record is from RNAcentral.